GAUGCAGCAGCAAGAGAUAACCUACCAAACCCCUGGUAGACAAUAGAACAACAAAACAACAAUUAAAUACACAACAAAAAGAAACAUUUUUGAAUGCAAAAAACUCCAAUCACACCUGAGACAUAACAGAGAAAACAUCUGGUUGAGAAUUAUUAUUAAUAUUCCUAUUGGAAGGAGCAGGACCGGAUCCAAAUCCAACGUACUUGCCACCUUGUGAAGGCGGAAGACCUUCAGGGCGUGAAUCAUUCUCAGCCAUUUUUCUAGCAAAAAAACUCUCUUUAUUAGCGGCAGAUGCUUCUAAUUGAGAUCUAGUAUACAUAUCCUCAGUCGAUCUCGACCUAACUGGCAUACCUCCCGCUCCAUUCCCAUUAUUGCCCCUAAAAUCACUGACUGACUGAUUUCUUCUCAUAUCAUUAGACGAAGAUCUAUACGAAUCAUCAUUGUCCCAACUAUCCCACCCUCCAUUAUUACCACCUGAUUGACCCAACGGAGGCUUUUUCUUGCUGCUAGUGCUACCAAUCGUUUCUUUAACAACAGGUGGGUCCCGCCAAGGUCUACCCUCGGCUAGGGCUUGGAUACGGUCACGAUAAACACUAGCGGCGUUAGUGUUAUAUUUAGCGACGAUGUCUGUUUCUUUAGGGACUCCAUAUUGAGAUAAGAAAGCGUUUAGCUUUUCGUUACCACCGGCUUCCAUUUUCUUGAUCUGGAUUUCGGACCACGAGUCCAUGGUUACGGAUCGGACGAAGGAUAUGUGAACACCGAGCCCCCGGUGUUUGCCCGAACAUUCUAAACACAUGAAGACUCCAUAGGAAACGGAGGCCCAUUGUGGAUUCUUUUGCGAGCAAUCAACGCAGAUCUUGUUUCCUGGUUGCGAUUGGAGGUCUCGGAGCCGCCUUGAUGCCGCCAUUUUUUUUAGGAUCCGAUCCGGUUGAUCUGAAUCGGAUUUAUUUUAUUCCAAAACAAAACUAAAACUAAAAAAAUUGAAAGAAUUAUGAUACAGAAAAUAAAAAUUAUGAUAGCAAAGGGAGAUGUGUGAUUGAGAGAAAGAAUUGGGGGAUGUCACCGACACCGCGUAAACGAUGGUGCGGGUGUUGGUGCGAUUACGCUAACUUGUGUUCCUUUUUUGUUUUGUUUUCUUUCAAAUAUAAAAUUUAUAAAUAAAUAAAACGAGGCAUCGCACAUGUGGAUUUUGUAAGUCUAAUGGUUAAUCUCGCUUUUCUACAGUUAGUGGAUACGUUUUUUGGUAUAUACUAAUUAGGAAAAAUGUGCAAAUACACUCCUAAAGUUUGGCGUGAAGAGCAUAUAAGUGCUUAAUCUAUUCUUUUAGCAAAAAAAAAAAUAUUCCUUUAUCUUUUGUUGUAUUAUAAGCCCCUUAUUAAACGUUGCUUUCAUCCUUAACUUAACACUAUUUUCCUCCUCAUGUGCCAAAGGACAUGGAACCAUCAUGCUUGGGUUUGAGAAGAUACUUACCAAGGUUUGAAUUCUUCUUUUUUUUUUUUUCAUCUUCUCUAGAAGGGCGAUGAUUUGAUGUGUGGUUUUAUAUAUAUAUACUAUCUCAGAGAAUGUGCAUUUGCAAAAUCUACUUGUGGAGCUACGGCGGACAAAUUAAGAUGUUGUUGAUUGGUUUAAGAAUGGUGGAUCUCUCAAUGAGUAUAGAAUUAUAGUUCGUAGCAAGAGAUAUUCAACAUGUCAAAAUUUUUUGAAUUUGGAUAUGGAUUUGUCAGUGAGCAAGUCUCUAGAACUUGGAGUUGAGCUACAGUGAAUGUUGUUAUUGGAGCUUGUAUGCAAAACGACAAUGGAUUGUUAGGAUUGGCGAGAUUUUAAUUUUUUUUUGCAGGAUCCUAUCAUUAUUGGAAAUAAAAGGUGCUUUUAUGGUGCUGGGUUUCAGUAGGAUCCCACUAACGGAGCAUGUCAAAUGAGUAAAUACAUUUAUAUUUCUUGUCUGUCACAUUUCUAUUCUAGCUAGCUACUUUCAUAUACCUCAACUGAAAAAAAAAAAAAAAAGGAGUGUGAUCUUAGAUUUCAAUAUUUCAGCAUAAAAGAUUACUUACAUGUUACUAAAUAUUUCAACCUAAUUCAUAUAUGGCUAAAGNNNGGUUUUUAUAUUUGAUUUUUGAGAAUGUGUGUUACCUCUUAAAAACUUACUAUCAUUAUGCUGAGAGUGGCCAACCUUCUAAGCCUAGGGUUUCUUAUUCUAUUUAUAGGGAAAGGUUUAAAGAAACUUUAAAAGCUUUUUUAUAUACGUUCGUAAUUUUCGAUAAAUAUCUCUAAUUUAAAAAAUUAAUUUUGAACUAAUUAGGAGUGUUUAUUAAUAAUAUUGAUAAACUAAAUAAAUCAUAGAAAAUUAUUAAAAUUUAAAUAUUUAAUAAAAUAUUUUAAAAGACAUUUUAUUAAUUUUAAUUUUUUAAAAUGAAAAUACACAAAAUAAUAUUGCAUUUCAAAUUUGGAGCCAAUCAGGAUCGGACCGUGUAAAAACAGUCAGACUCUGUUACAGCCGACGGGCUUAGAGUUGAAAAGUUUUGAGAAAUUUUACAUUUAAGUCCCUGAUCUUUUAAAAUUUUCAAUUUUACCCCUCAAACUUAAUUUGUUUCUAUCAAUUUAGUGCAAACUGAUUUCAAAAAUAAUUUUUGGUUCAAUUAUUCACAAUCCUAAUUGGAAUUUGACCAUCGUCAACCUCUCGAGACUCGAAAAAAGCAGUAACUUUUAUCAUCGAAUUUUUCAUAAUUCGCUCGAUAUCUAAAUUUGGAAAACAGGUGCUGACAGAGUCAUUUGAUUUAUACCAAAUAAGAAAAUAUGGCCUACUCCAAUUAUUCUCCUAAACAAAUCCCAGAUUUCAUUAAAUAAACCCUAUAUUGACACUAUUAUAACUUUCUUCAUUUUUAAUAUUGCAGAGACAUAACAUCACUUCGCAGAAAAUUCUCUUUAAGGAAAAAGGAAAAGAAGAGAAAAACUUGAAUAAAAGCAUACACAUAUACAUUUAUGUGCAUUAUGCCUUCAUAACUCAAGAAAAUAUGUUAGCAUCAAAAAAUGCCAAGAAAAGAAUGAAACCUUUAAAAGCAGAGAGAAUUAGAAAUAAAUAUUUUGCUUCCCUUCAUUUUCUUUGGAGAAUUCUCAAGAAAUUGUAAAAGGGGGGAAAAGAAUUGAUUGAUGAUCAUCAAGGUGAUGAAGAAAUCAAGGGAGAAGAUGGUGGAAUAACGCGUCUGCUUCUGCUUCUGUUUCUACUUCUACCACGGGUUUGAUUUCCAGAAGGAGAUGAUGAAGAAGAAGAUGAUGAGUUAGAAGAAGAUGUGAAUCUGUUGGAUACACUUGUUAGUUUUUUAACUAAGUUUGUACAAUUGACCAUCUUAGCCUUCACUUCGUCAAGAGCCAUUCAUUCCAUCUUCUUUAACCUAUCAACACAAGUCUGUUGAUCAAUCAUAGUAGCACUAAUCCAAGUCAAAGCUUUCUCUCUAGGACCGACUUUCAUCGCUAAUAAAGAAUCUCUGAGUCUGCUGAAUGCAUCAUCAAAUUGACUCAAACAGUCAUGAAUAGCAGUUUAAGAGUUAACAUUAUUCAAAAUUUUGAAAAAGUAAAGGCGUUUUUGAGUUCUUGAAUGGAGACUUAAAGAGAAAGCUUGAAAAUGGCUUCUUGGUCAGGUUUGUUGAGAAGUUAAGAGAGGAUAUGCUGGUGAAGCAAGACGUUGGAUAUUAAGUUAUAUUGCAGAUAGUUUUAAUUGACUUCGCCAAGUUGGAUAACAAGAUAGAUUCAGGAGGUUCAGUGUUGGAUUCUUGGAUCAGAGCAGUAAAC
This 3786-nucleotide long non-coding RNA is filed under the name Ricinus communis (castor bean). RNAcentral's name for it is "long non-coding RNA (RCOM_LNC002242)". Lineage: Eukaryota; Viridiplantae; Streptophyta; Magnoliopsida; Malpighiales; Euphorbiaceae. The record is from RNAcentral.